AUCUCGUUCGUCGCCUACUUAACGCGAAAAAUCUCGACAGAUUUUUGCGAACCAAGCAUGGGUAGUAUGCCGUUCUACAUGCUGAUUAUCACCGUAACCAGUUUCACUACAAUAACAGUUUUAGUCAGUGCAACUGAUAAUCCCGCUUUAGAGAUCAAACCAGAUUUGCCAGUAAUUAUUCAGCAAGCUGAAAAGAGUUUGAGUUUAACAUGUAGGCCACGUGUAUCCGAACCCAACCUGAUAAGUCAACUAGAAUGGAGAGAUUCGGUAGGACGCUUGAUAGCAAAUACUGAUCAGAAUGCACUAAUACAU
This 312-nucleotide long non-coding RNA is filed under the name Onthophagus taurus. RNAcentral describes it as "uncharacterized LOC111423115, transcript variant X1". Lineage: Eukaryota; Metazoa; Arthropoda; Insecta; Coleoptera; Scarabaeidae. The record is from RNAcentral.